UUAAAUCUUUUGUAAUUUUCAAUUUUAUUUUUCGCUUUUUCCAUCUUGCAGUCUUGUGAUUUGUUCUUUUUUGAAAACGUGAUAUAAAGUAUUGCAUUUUAAACAUGGUCUCGAAUAAGUGUUCAGUUAUCGGUUGUAAAGAUUCUGCAAAAAGGAAACACAUCUUUCCAAAUAAUGAAGAUGAUAUGAAAAUAUGGGUAUAAAGAACCGGAAAUCCAGUCUUCGAAAAUCUGUCGGUAGAAGCUAUAAGAAAAAAAUACCAAAUUUGUAAAAAUCAUUUCGAUAAAUGUUGUGAUUCACCUGGUACGAAUCAAAAACUAAAGCAGCAUUCGCUGCCUAAUUAACUUACCUCGAGUAUAUGAAUCACCAUUGAAUUGGUCUAGCAGAGAACCAUCAAUAUCGUCCAAAAAUUGCAUUCAAAAUCUCGCUUCAAUCGUAGAGUCAUCACUAAACUGGUCAAGCAUAAGCCCACCAAAUCAUGAUAAUGACGAGUACGGUUGUUUUGGAAUACGUGUAUAUGUGGCGAGGAUUUGUUACUAAAAACCCGGAUGGUCACCCAUCCGAGAACUAGCGACACCGACUGAUACUUGACCUUAGAACACGUAAGUGACUCACACCAACCACCACGACACACCACACCAAAUUACUAAUAUUUAUAAGUAUAGUUAUUACUUAUUAGUCAUAAUAACAAAGGUA
Long non-coding RNA from Metopolophium dirhodum (rose-grain aphid), 696 nucleotides. RefSeq lists it as uncharacterized. Lineage: Eukaryota; Metazoa; Arthropoda; Insecta; Hemiptera; Aphididae. The transcript is spliced from 4 exons. The record is from RefSeq and is a predicted model, not a curated record.